AAUCCAGACAUUGGGAGGUAGCGACGAGAAAUAUCAAGCUGAGGCCAUUGGCUUCAGCAUUGAAAUGAACGUAAUGUAAAUACUUUGAUGAGUAACAACUGGAGGGCAAGUCUGGUGCCAGCAGCCGCGGUAAUUCCAGCUCCAGUAGUGUAUAUCAAAAUUGUUGCGUUUAAAACGCUCGUAGUCGGAUGACAAGAACGUCCCCAAUUACCGGUUUAGCCGAGUGGUUGAGGGUGUUUUUUAUUCGCAAGCACUGGUUGUGGGCUUUAAUGCUUGUGGCCAGUCACUUGCGAGGCGUGCCUUGAAUAAAGCAGAGUGCUCAAAGCAAGCGUAACGCUAGAAUGUAAUAGCAUGGAACGAACAGUGUUGAUUUCUGGCUGAGUUGGUCGGUGUGGCAAAGGCUUAGUUUGAUUUGUGGCAACACAAGUCGAACGGCUUUUGCUACCGACGGUCGUUUGAUUCGCAAGAAUUGAACGACCGCCGGACUCAGCUGGGUCCUGGUUAAAAGGGACAUUUGAGGGCGUUAGUACUUGAUGGCGAGAGGUGAAAUUCUUAGACCCAUCAAAGACUGACUAGUGCGAAAGCAUUCGCCAAGAGUGUUUUCAUUGAUCAAGAACGAAAGUUGGAGGUUCGAAGACGAUCAGAUACCGUCCUAGUUCCAUACAGUAAACGAUGCCAACACGGAAUCAGUCCGAAAAGGAUUCAGGUUGGUUCCCCAGUGAAAACUCAAGUUUUCGGGUUACGGGGAGAGUACGAUCGCAAGGUAGAAAUUUAAAAGAAUUGACGGAAGGGCACCACAAGGAGUGGAGCCUGCGGCUUAAUUUGACUCAACACGGGGCAACUCACCAGGUCCGGACAUUGAAAGGAUUGACAGACUGAUAGAUCUUUCAUGAUUUAAUGAUUGGUGGUGCAUGGCCGUUCUUAGUU
RNAcentral lists this ribosomal RNA (927 nucleotides) under Parvicapsula limandae. RNAcentral describes it as "SSU rRNA". It matches the Rfam family "Eukaryotic small subunit ribosomal RNA", at positions 447 to 1299 of the family's 1831-position model. The record is from RNAcentral. Lineage: Eukaryota; Metazoa; Cnidaria; Myxozoa; Bivalvulida; Parvicapsulidae.